AGGCAGCAGGCGCGUAAAUUACCCACUCCCAGUUCGGGGAGGUAGUGACGAAAAAUACCAAUACAGGACUCAUAUCCGAGGCCCUGUAAUUGGAAUGAGUACACUUUAAAUCCUUUAACAAGGACCUAUUGGAGGGCAAGUCUGGUGCCAGCAGCCGCGGUAAUUCCAGCUCCAAUAGCGUAUAUUAAAGUUGUUGCGGUUAAAACGUUCGUAGUUGAAUUUGUGCUUCAUGCAGGUAGUACAACUAUAAUCGUAGUUUGUACAUUACCUUAUGCAUGUAAGCGUAUUAUCGGUGGAGUUCUAAUAUAUAAUAGUAAUUAUUAUUAUUAUAUAUACCUCCUAUUUGAAACCUACUUCAGUGCUCUUUAUCGAGUGUUGUUGUAGGCCGAUACAAUUACUUUGAACAAAUUAGAGUGCUUAAAGCAGGCUUAAAAUGCCUGAAUAUUUUGUGCAUGGAAUAAUGAAAUAAGACCUCUGUUCUACUUUCAUUGGUUUUUAGAUCAAGAGGUAAUGAUUAAUAGAAGCAGUUUGGGGCAU
Molecule: ribosomal RNA, 537 nt
Filed under: Microdon sp. SUR15
Lineage: Eukaryota; Metazoa; Arthropoda; Insecta; Diptera; Syrphidae
Description: SSU rRNA
Rfam family: Eukaryotic small subunit ribosomal RNA
Source: RNAcentral